GACGAACGCUGGCGGCGCGCCUAACACAUGCAAGUCGAACGAGCGAGAGAGAGCUUGCUUUCUCGAGCGAGUGGCGAACGGGUGAGUAACGCGUGGGGAACCUGCCUCAAAGAGGGGGACAACAGUUGGAAACGACUGCUAAUACCGCAUAAGCCCACGACCCGGCCUCGGGUAGAGGGAAAAGGAGCAAUCCGCUUUGAGAUGGCCUCGCGUCCGAUUAGCUAGUUGGUGAGGUAACGGCCCACCAAGGCGACGAUCGGUAGCCGGACUGAGAGGUUGAACGGCCACAUUGGGACUGAGGCACGGCCCAGACUCCUACGGGAGGCAGCAGUGGGGAAUAUUGCACAAUGGGGGAAACCCUGAUGCAGCGACGCCGCGUGGAGGAAGAAGGUCUUCGGAUUGUAAACUCCUGUUGUUGAGGAAGAUAAUGACGGUACUCAACAAGGAAGUGACGGCUAACUACGUG
RNAcentral lists this ribosomal RNA (466 nucleotides) under uncultured bacterium. RNAcentral's name for it is "partial 16S ribosomal RNA". It matches the Rfam family "Bacterial small subunit ribosomal RNA", at positions 28 to 507 of the family's 1533-position model. The record is from RNAcentral.